GGGGCGGUAUCCCCUCCGUCUUAUACGCGGUUGAAAGGGUAGUUGGUACACGUGGGUUCAAUUCCCACCCGCCCUACCA
RNAcentral lists this transfer RNA (79 nucleotides) under Candidatus Saccharimonadota bacterium. RNAcentral's name for it is "tRNA-OTHER". It matches the Rfam family "tRNA". From Rfam's summary of the family: Transfer RNA (tRNA) molecules are approximately 80 nucleotides in length. Their secondary structure includes four short double-helical elements and three loops (D, anti-codon, and T loops). Lineage: Bacteria; Candidatus Saccharimonadota. The record is from RNAcentral.